UACGGAGGGUGCGAGCGUUGUCCGGAAUCAUUGGGCGUAAAGGGCGCGUAGGUGGCCCGGUCAGUCCGUGGUGAAAGCGCGGGGCUCAACCCUGCGUCGGCCAUGGAUACUGCCGCGGCUCGAGCACUGUAGAGGCAGGCGGAAUUCCGGGUGUAGCGGUGGAAUGCGUAGAGAUCCGGAAGAACACCGGUGGCGAAGGCGGCCUGCUGGGCAGUUUAGCUGACACUGAGGCGCGACAGCGUGGGGAGCGAACCGG
This 256-nucleotide ribosomal RNA is filed under the name uncultured bacterium. RNAcentral's name for it is "partial 16S ribosomal RNA". It matches the Rfam family "Bacterial small subunit ribosomal RNA", at positions 524 to 776 of the family's 1533-position model. The record is from RNAcentral.